UUCUUCCGUCUAUAUUUAAAGUAAUACAAGACAUCAGGUAUCAAAAUAUCAUGCUCUACAUUUCUUAUAUUUUCUCCUUAAAAACUCGACUUUUAGUGUAGAAAUGUUUUAGAUCCUAAUUUUAUCGUUUAAAAUCGGAUCUUUAUUAUACAUUAGUUGGAUUUUUUGCUUAAAAAUUCAAUCUUUACUGUAGAAUUGUUCUAGAUCUAUUUAUAUGGUUAAAAAUCAUAUCUUUAUUGUACAUUUCUUACCUUUUUUUGCUUAAAAAUAUAAUCUUUAUCGUAAAAAUGUUCUGGAUUCUAUUUUUAUGUUUAAAAAUCGGGCCUUUAUUAUACAUUACUUGGAAUUUUUGUUUAAAAAUUCAUUCUUUACUGUAGAAAUGUUCUAGACCUUUUUACGGUUAAAAAUUAUAUCUUUCUUAUACAUUACUUCAAUUAUUUUGUUCAAAAGUUCAUUCUUUAGCGUAGAAAUGUUCUAGAUCCUUUAUUAUAUAUUACUCGGAUUUUUUGCUUGAAAAUUCGAUUCAUGCUAUUUUUAUAUGUUACUCAUAGAACUAUGUAUUGUGAAUGCUGGUUUUUAGACGUAAAGAUUAUUGAUAGAAAUAGGAUAAAUCAGAUUGUUCACAUAUUACUAAUGAGUUACUUCUAAUGUGCAUUCUUUAAUAAAGAUCACAGUAUGUUGUGAAGGCUUAUUUUUUAUAAUGAUAUUUUUCUAUCAGUAACGCUGAUUAAACUGUGUGUUGGUAACAUUAUUUUUAUUUUUAUUGAUAUUUUCUGUCCAGAAGUUGUAUCUAAUACUGUCUGAAUUUUGUGAUAUUUCUUUAUGUACAUUUAAGAACUCUUCUGAUAUUCUUCUUCUACCUUCUUUAAUAAAGAACGCAGUGUGUUGUGAAGGCUUAUUUUUUAUGAUAAUAUUUUUCUACCAAUAACGCUGAUUAAACUGUGUGUUGGUAACAUUAUUUUUCUUUUUAUUGAUAUUUUCUGUCUAGAAGUUGUAUCUAAUAGUGUCUGAAAUUUGUGAUAUUUCUUUCUGUACAUUUAAGAACUCUUCUGAUAUUUCUUUAUCUACAUUUCUAAUGAGUUACUUCUAAUCUAAUAAUAGUGUAUGAUAUUAUAAAAUUGUGUAUGAUAUUAUAAAAUGCAUUACUAAUGACUUAUGACAGAUCUCCGAGUUCACUAUAUUGAUACUGUUAGUACCUUAUAUUUUUCAAGUGUGUGUUAGUCUACUAUCUUCUAUAUAAUAAUGUAAAGGAUGGUGAGAUUACAAAAAUACCUAUUACCUAUGACUGACACCUGGCAUUUUAAGGGCUAAAACGGUCAUUCAAAUAUUUUUACUUCUUUAUUAUUAUUAUACAUUUAUUAUUAUUACCGAAAUGGACAUUCCUUUUUUAAUUGACAUUUAAUUUGAAAUUACUCUCUCUCUCUUCAUUCAUUUUUUAUUCUUUUUAUUCUUUUCUAAAUGCUUCUUUCCAUUCAUUAUUCAUUUCAAUUCAUGGUUCAUAUCAUAUCACUCUCUCCCUUUCUCUCUGUCUACAAUUUCAAAUAUGAGACUCUGUAAACCUUCUUUUGAUAUUUUUUAUUCUUUUGGCCACUAUUGUUGAUGAAUCUUAUUUCAUUCUUUUUGAGUUAAGAUAAUAUUUUUUGUAUAAUGUCUCAUUAUACCUUAUUUCGAAUUUCUUGGUGUUAUUUUUGGUAUGUAGGUUUUACAACGUCACUAUCUCACACAAAUAUUGGUAAAAAUGAAUUUUUUUUCUACAAAUUUUAGUUUAAUAUCAUUAGAUCUUGUAGCUUAUCUGCAUUUUUUUGUGCUUCAAUGUCCCUUCAACUGUGUUAUUUUCUCUAUCUAACCCUUUUUUCCCAAUGUUUACUAACAAGUAAACAUUUUUACCUAACAAAGAAACAUUUUUCGUCACUUUUGUUGGAUGAAUCUUAUUUCGUUCUUUUUGAAUUGAAUAUAACAUUUUUUCUCUGAGUUAUGAUUAUAUCUUAUUAUGAAUUUCUUGGUGUUAUUAUUGGUAUAUAUGCAUGUUCACCAUGUAAUCCUCUCAAACUAAUAUUGGUAAAAAUGAAAGUUUUUCUGCAAAUUUUAGUUCAACAUUAUCAGAUCUUAUAAAAAAAUUUCACUUUUGUGCCUCUAUUGUUAUGUUUCACAAUAUAGUGUCCCUUCAAUAUAGUGUCCCUUCAUCUAGCUUGCUUUCUCACGACAUAUUAUUUUUUUCCCUUAUUCUUCUUUAGCGUUAUGGUUUGGAAGCCAAAGAAGAGUUAAAGGUCAUGGAAGCUCCAAAGAUAGAAGAGAUAAGUCAACUACCAAUGGACCAACUACAAGGCUUAUAGUACUGUAUAAGUUCAAACUCAUCUUGGGUUAUGUUAAACAUUAAUCAUGAGAAAAGAUUUUGCAAACUUUUAACACUUGAGUCAAAAUAUUUUGAUACUACUUAGUAAUCAUGAGAAAAGAAUACCAUUGAAACUUAAAAUGUGUAGAUUUUAGGGAAGAUUGACAGUUUUGUGAUUUAGAAUAAAAGGUGAAGGUGAGUAUUGAUGUUUGGGGAAAAUAUCUUUGAUUUCCAAAGUAGUGAAG
RNAcentral lists this long non-coding RNA (2577 nucleotides) under Lupinus angustifolius (narrow-leaved blue lupine). Its description in RNAcentral is "long non-coding RNA (LANG_LNC000269)". Lineage: Eukaryota; Viridiplantae; Streptophyta; Magnoliopsida; Fabales; Fabaceae. The record is from RNAcentral.